This 291-nucleotide long non-coding RNA is filed under the name Vulpes vulpes (red fox). RNAcentral describes it as "lncRNA (ENSVVUG00000013381.1)". Lineage: Eukaryota; Metazoa; Chordata; Mammalia; Carnivora; Canidae. The record is from RNAcentral.
AGAGUCUCAAGCAGACUACCUGCUCAGCAUGGAGCUGAAAGUAAAAGCACCAUCAGCCAAGUGAACCACCCAGUCAUUUCUAAUGAGGAACCUGAAGAAAAAUGAGAACAAUGCAUGAGCUGAGAAUCAGAGUGCUCAUCUUCUAUCUCCUGGCCAUGCUUCCUGUACAACUGACUUUCCAGUUCCCAUAUUUCCUAAUGAUUUCAUCAAUGUGAGUUUUUUCUCCCAAUUAUGAUAAAGGCUAGAGCAGGGCACAAAUGUCUGGUACAAAAGACACCAGUUAGGAAAAAG